CCUUCCAAAAUCCAAAGCUUGACAGACAGACAUCUGGUGAAAAGAUUAGUUUAAAGAAAAACAAAGUCCACUUUGCGCAUCGGAGACUUCGCCGGAACUCCGAUCUGCCACCCCUCCAAUCCCAAUGGAUUACCAACUGAAUUCCCAAAUCUCCGGCGACUCUCCUUCUUCCUCCGCAUCCUCCACCAUCCAAACACCCUCCACUUCCAACCACCACCACCAAAACGGCGGCGCUCCCAUCAACAACAACGACCCCAUGCAUUCUUGGUGGGAAUCCAUCUCUAAAGCUCGUUCUCGCAUCCACCUUCUUUCCUCCCUCCUCCCCUCCUCUAACGACUCCACCACUGACGCUUCUCUCUCCGCCCUUGCUGACUCUGACCGCCCUGCCCGGUCCCUUCUCCUCUCUCCGGGGGCAUACUUUUCUAUUUCUUCCUCUCUCUCUUCCCCUUCCUCCGGCGCCGGUGAUGACCCACUUUGUAACUGGCUCUACGACACUUUCCUUUCCUCUGAUACUGAUCUUCGUCUUGUGGUACUCUCUUUUAUCCCCCUUUUAUCCUCCAUCUAUCUCUCGCGAAUCCAUUCUUCUAUUUCUACUUCUCUAUCUGGUUUUGAAGCUGUUCUUCUUGCCCUUUACGGCGCUGAAACCAAAUCCCGCGGAGGAAAACCCAUACUUAUUUCUA
Molecule: unclassified non-coding RNA, 680 nt
Filed under: Hevea brasiliensis (rubber tree)
Lineage: Eukaryota; Viridiplantae; Streptophyta; Magnoliopsida; Malpighiales; Euphorbiaceae
Source: RNAcentral